AGUAUUUAUCUAUGACUGACCCUUCUCGUGCACAGACGGUUGACACUGAAAUUGCUAAGCACUGUGCAUAUAGCCUCCCUGGUGUGGCCUUGACACUCGGAAGACAGAAUUGGCACUGCCUGAGAGAGACGUAUGAGACUCUGGCCUCAGACAUGCAGUGGAAAGUUCGACGAACUCUAGCAUUCUCCAUCCACGAGCUUGCAGUUAUUCUUGGAGAUCAGUUGACAGCUGCAGAUCUGGUUCCAAUUUUUAAUGGAUUUUUAAAAGACCUCGAUGAAGUCAGGAUAGGUGUUCUUAAACACUUGCAUGAUUUUCUGAAGGUAACUUUUAAAUUCUUUUGCAUAAAAACACAACAAAAUUCUGCUGUAAUCUAAAUCUUUAUCUUCUGCUAUCACCAAGAGAGGUUUCUUUGUGUUUCUAUGUAAGAAAACACAGCCAUAAGUUGAUGUUAAGAUGCAACUUAAAAAAGAAAUGGUCCCAUAAUUAUACUCUCACUUUUAAAACAGUAUUAGAUGAUAGUUUACAAACAUUUGUAUCUUUUUCUUUUUCAAAAUUAUUGA
Molecule: small RNA, 560 nt
Filed under: Pan troglodytes (chimpanzee)
Lineage: Eukaryota; Metazoa; Chordata; Mammalia; Primates; Hominidae
Description: retained intron
Source: RNAcentral